AUACUUACCUGGUAGGUGAGAUACCAUGAUUGUGAAGGUGGUUUUUCCAGAGAGCAAGGCUUAUCUAUUCCACUUCAGAUGUGCGGCCCCUGCAAUUUCCCCAAAUGUAGGAAAUUUGCAUAACUGUGGUAGUGGGGGACUGAGCUCAUGCUUUCCCCUG
RNAcentral lists this small nuclear RNA (160 nucleotides) under Prolemur simus (greater bamboo lemur). RNAcentral's name for it is "U1 spliceosomal RNA (ENSPSMG00000007986.1)". It matches the Rfam family "U1 spliceosomal RNA". From Rfam's summary of the family: U1 is a small nuclear RNA (snRNA) component of the spliceosome (involved in pre-mRNA splicing). The record is from Rfam by way of RNAcentral. Lineage: Eukaryota; Metazoa; Chordata; Mammalia; Primates; Lemuridae.